UUUUUAUAGAAAUCAUUAUAAAUAAAACCUGCUCAAUGAACAUUUUAAAAGCCGCAAACAUUUAUCUGUGCUAAGGUAGCAUAAUCAUUAGACUUUAAAAUAAAGACCAGUAUGAAAGAUUAAACAAUUAAUUAUCUUUUUUUAUUUAACACAUUAAAAUUAAAUUAAUAAUAAAAAUGUUAUUAUAAAAAAAAAAGACGACAAGACCCUAUCAAACUUUACUUAAGUUAAGCUGGGGCAGCUUAUUAACUAUAACUUUAAUUAAAUAUAAACAAUAAACCUAUAAAAUUGACAUUUAAUUAAGUUACUGUAGGGAUAACAGCGUAAUUUUUCUCUAAAGCUCAUAUUUAAAAAAAAGUAUACGACCUCGAUGUUGAAUAAUUUCCCUUUAAAAGCGCAAAAGCUUUAAAAGAAGGUCUGCUCGACCUAUAAAUAAUUACA
Molecule: ribosomal RNA, 441 nt
Filed under: Malkara sp. MR205
Lineage: Eukaryota; Metazoa; Arthropoda; Arachnida; Araneae; Malkaridae
Description: partial 16S ribosomal RNA
Rfam family: Bacterial large subunit ribosomal RNA (bases 197-441)
Source: RNAcentral